Molecule: long non-coding RNA, 622 nt
Organism: Lethenteron reissneri (Far Eastern brook lamprey)
Lineage: Eukaryota; Metazoa; Chordata; Hyperoartia; Petromyzontiformes; Petromyzontidae
Source: RefSeq, a predicted model, not a curated record
GGCUGAUUUGGAUUCCCGCUCACGGCCACCGUCGGUGGCUCGCGAACUGCUGACGCGGCGUCUCGCUGGCUGGUCCUCCUCUACAUCGACUCAGCCCGAAGAAGCUUGAGCGAGCGCUACGAGGAGGAGAUGACAGUGCGAGCCGAGGCUCUAGUCAACUCCGGCAGGCGGCUGGUACAGAGGUACGAGCAGGAGAAGAGCCGUCUCGCCGACGGGCUGCUCCACCCACGCUUGCACGGAUGGCCGGAUGACGUCGCGGUCACCGAACGGCCAAACCACCAACCCGACGAACGACCCCCACCCGGCCGCCAGCCCACGGGUACCCCCACCGACUUUUGUUGAAAACUUGGGUGUCAUGUGGAGCAUUUCAUAAUUCUCGUGACAGACUGCAAAGGCUGAAGUGGAAUUCCUCACACAUCCGACACGACACAAUAUACGCACAGACACACGUAAACUUUACCCCCUGUAUUUCCAAUAUUCCUAUAACCGUGCUCGAUUCAAGACACUUAUUAUCUCUUUAUCGGUGACACAUUUAAUAGUCAUGUUUUUUGCUGGCUGUUUUGUGUGUGUGGGUCUUUGGGGCUGUCUGAUGAACAAAAAUAAAAUUAGUUCCUUGGGUGUU